Long non-coding RNA from Notothenia coriiceps (black rockcod), 600 nucleotides. RefSeq lists it as uncharacterized. The transcript has 5 exons. NCBI's taxonomy places the organism in Eukaryota, Metazoa, Chordata, Actinopteri, Perciformes, Nototheniidae. The record is from RefSeq and is a predicted model, not a curated record.
UUCUUGUUUAAACUAUGUGAACUUCAGAUGCUGUUGCUGAGCUUGCAAAGGAGUACAGGGAAAGUGGGGAGCCAAUCACAGAUGACAGUACCAACCUGCACAAGUUAUCCUACAAACUAGAAUACUUACUACAGUUUGACCAGAAGGAGAAGACCACAUUUCUUGGUACAAAGAAGGAUUAUUGGGAGUACUUCACUGACUGCCUGGCUAAAAUCAAAGGAGCCAAUGAUGGGAUCCGCUUUGUCAAAUCCAUCCCUGAGCUGAAGACAUCUCUGGGGAAAGGACGGGCGUUUAUCCGUUACUCCCUCGUACAUCAGCGCCUGGCCGACACUCUGCAGCAGUGCCUGAUGAACCAGAGAAUCACCAGUGACUGGUAUUAUGCACGGAGCCCCUUCUUGAAGCCCCAUCUGAGUGUUGACAUAAUCAAUCACCUGUACGAGCUCAAUGAGGUCCAGUUUGAUGUGGCUUCCAGAGGUCACGAUCUUGAUGCCUCCUGGCCAACCUUUGCAAGGAGGACACUGGGAAACUCGCCUGGCCACACGUGGAAACCACCCAGUCGCAGUUCCAGUAUGAACAGUCUGGCCAGCACCUACUCCCAGG